RNAcentral lists this ribosomal RNA (500 nucleotides) under Burkholderia sp. HPN52. RNAcentral's name for it is "bacterial SSU rRNA". It matches the Rfam family "Bacterial small subunit ribosomal RNA", at positions 12 to 509 of the family's 1533-position model. Lineage: Bacteria; Pseudomonadati; Pseudomonadota; Betaproteobacteria; Burkholderiales; Burkholderiaceae. The record is from RNAcentral.
UUUUGGAUCCUGGCUCAGAUUGAACGCUGGCGGCAUGCCUUACACAUGCAAGUCGAACGGCAGCGCGGGGGCAACCCUGGUGGCGAGUGGCGAACGGGUGAGUAAUACAUCGGAACGUGUCCUGUAGUGGGGGAUAGCCCGGCGAAAGCCGGAUUAAUACCGCAUACGCUCUACGGAGGAAAGGGGGGGAUCUUAGGACCUCUCGCUACAGGGGCGGCCGAUGGCAGAUUAGCUAGUUGGUGGGGUAAAGGCCUACCAAGGCGACGAUCUGUAGCUGGUCUGAGAGGACGACCAGCCACACUGGGACUGAGACACGGCCCAGACUCCUACGGGAGGCAGCAGUGGGGAAUUUUGGACAAUGGGGGAAACCCUGAUCCAGCAAUGCCGCGUGUGUGAAGAAGGCUUCGGGUUGUAAAGCACUUUUGUCCGGAAAGAAAACAUAUGCACUAAUACUGUGUGUGGAUGACGGUACCGGAAGAAUAGCACCGGCAUAUCUANCC